Long non-coding RNA from Papio anubis (olive baboon), 1549 nucleotides. The record is from Ensembl. Lineage: Eukaryota; Metazoa; Chordata; Mammalia; Primates; Cercopithecidae.
UACAGUCCCUGUGGAGGUAAACAGCUGCCCACAGUUGGUUUACAGUCUUGGCUGGUCCCCUUCUAAAUGAUUCCAACCUUAGCCACGUGACUUGUUUGGCCAAAGGGACAAUAGCAAAUGUAACACAAGUAGAGGGUUGAAAAGUGUGUGCACAUUGAGUCCUGCCCUGUCUUGCUGCUGAAAACUGCUGCUGCCACGUGGACAAGGCUGGGUUGAUCACAUGAAGGAUGAGAGGUCCCGAUUAUCCCAGCCACCCACACCAUGCCUGCUGAGGCCUCAGAAGCCCAACGGAGGCCACAGAGACCAUCCAGCAGUACACAGCUGGCCUAGACCAGAAAAACCUCCCUUAAGGAACUUAAAGAACAGUCCUUAACCUGCAGGAGACAGAUGUGUGAGCCAACAGUGACAGAGAGCACAGCAGUUACUCUGUCAGAGGCUUGUCUGGGGCAAGUGUGCAGAGCAGCGGGGCGUGGAGGAGGCUUGCGAGGACAGGAAGGACUGACAGAAGCCACCACACAGGAGCUGAGACCUGCAGAAAGAGCAGACACUGGCACGUGUACCAGCAGCAGGAGGAUGCUCCCGAUGGUGGAGGACCCCAGAUGCAGGCAACUCUAUAGAUCACUGGGGACUCAUCCUGCAGAUAUCAUUCAAGACAUCCAGUUCAGAAUCUAUCACCAGCUCAGAUUGUAGGCUCUGAAGAGAUCUCAGAUGUUUUGUGCCUUAUACAUUUAAUUCUGAGAUCACAGAGCCCGAGGAGGUUUUGAGGACCCUCUACUCCCACCUUCGGAUGUUUUCAGAGGAGUUGCUGGCAGGGCUGGGCCACUGGGCCUUGCUGGGAAUUAAUUCUCCUACCCACGUGUGUCCUAUAGAGCAUGAAUUUUCUCCUAAACACUCUUGACUUUUCACUUGUUAAAUUAAAGCAUUUUCUUAAAGAAAAGAUUAAAGCCAAGAGGUGUGAACUUUUUUUUAUUGGGAGAAGAGGUAUGUGUGUGUUUCCCCAGCCCUAAUCCACUUCCUCAAUGUGCAUAUCCAUACAUCACAUUCUUAUUUUCUUUAAUCCUAACUUGGACUUUUCCCCCCUCUUUAAAAAACUACUUUUCUCAAUUUCUUUUCUUGAUCAUUUUCUUCCUGUCUCCUGUGAUGUACAAAAUACUAUUUCCAGGGUUUUUCUCCUCCUCCUCCUCCUCCUCUUCUUCUUCCUCACUUUCCUUUUUGCAAAGUUAUACUCUCUGGGAACAUAAUUAACGUUUACUGGGCACUGGUGAUUGAUCCAUUCUUCUGGUAAUCCUCUCCCACUCUAUGCUCUCCUUCCCAUGACUCCUCCUCCACCCACCUUAUCCAGGAAUAUAGAAUUUUCCACUGCCUCAGAUUCACUCCUUUAUAAGAGUUCCCACCCUUUUCCGUCUAAUAUGUGCUGCCUCUUCCAAGUUGAAUUACAAGACUGGAACCAAUUUCUGUUUAUAGUCUCAUAACUCUGCAAGACCCUCCAUCCUUACUACCCUGGGAUAUGGAGACUUGAAAUUACCUGACUUUCUCCCUUGCUUUUUCA